UACGAAGGGGGCUAGCGUUGUUCGGAAUUACUGGGCGUAAAGCGCACGUAGGCGGACUCUUAAGUCAGGGGUGAAAUCCCGGGGCUCAACCUCGGAACUGCCUUUGAUACUGUGAGUCUCGAGACCGGAAGAGGUGAGUGGAAUUCCUAGUGUAGAGGUGAAAUUCGUAGAUAUUAGGAAGAACACCAGUGGCGAAGGCGGCUCACUGGCCCGUUUCUGACGCUCAGGCACGAAAGCGUGGGGAGCAAACAGG
Molecule: ribosomal RNA, 253 nt
Filed under: uncultured bacterium
Lineage: Bacteria
Description: partial 16S ribosomal RNA
Rfam family: Bacterial small subunit ribosomal RNA
Source: RNAcentral